This is a long non-coding RNA of Balaenoptera acutorostrata (minke whale), 534 nucleotides long. RefSeq lists it as uncharacterized. Lineage: Eukaryota; Metazoa; Chordata; Mammalia; Artiodactyla; Balaenopteridae. The record is from RefSeq and is a predicted model, not a curated record. The transcript has 4 exons.
GUGUGGGCUCCAGCUGCUUGUAGUUCUUUCCUGUCCUCUCCUUGUAUCAGAGGUGGCAGAGGAAGGCGCAUCACUCCAUGGGAGCGUCCCUGUCAGCAUCAGGGCCCAGGGGCAGGCAGACUGCCCUAUUUGCUUCAGAACAUCUCUCCCCAACUUGGCUGGUUUCAACAUCUCAAGACCCUGUUAUGCUUGAGCAGGCACUGGAAUCUAGGCUUUCAGGAGACCAGGGAAGCAAAAGGCAAUCGAUUAAAACUGAUGAUAAAAGGGAGGACUACCAAGAGGACCACAUCACUUAGGGCAACUGACCCCAGGCCCCUCGGGAUGGGUACCUGACUGUGAAGCCAAAACCCUGUCUCUGAACUGCUUACCAACCUGAAGUGUCACCCCCUGCAACUCCCUGCUUCAGUUGACAGUUUGGGUGACCAUAAAGGGACCCAGAGCAGACUUCCCUCCUUCGCCUGAACUCUAGGAGGAACCAGAGCCUUGGUACCAGCAGAGGCCUCUUGUGCCCAUUCGCCUCCUUGGAGAGUCCAG